RNAcentral lists this ribosomal RNA (451 nucleotides) under uncultured bacterium. RNAcentral's name for it is "partial 16S ribosomal RNA". It matches the Rfam family "Bacterial small subunit ribosomal RNA", at positions 29 to 523 of the family's 1533-position model. The record is from RNAcentral.
AACGAACGCUGGCGGCAGGCUUAACACAUGUAAGUCGAACGGGUGUAGCAAUACAUCAGUGGCAGACGGGUGAGUAACACGUGGGAACCUUCCUAGGGGUACGGAACAACUCCGGGAAACUUGAGCUAAUACCGUAUACGUCCGUGAGGAGAAAGAUUUAUCGCCCUUAGACGGGCCCGCGUCGGAUUAGCUAGUUGGUGGGGUAACGGCCUACCAAGGCGGCGAUCCGUAGCUGAUCUUAGAGGAUGAUCAGCCACACUGGGACUGAGACACGGCCCAGACUCCUACGGGAGGCAGCAGUGGGGAAUCUUGGACAAUGGGCGCAAGCCUGAUCCAGCCAUGCCGCGUGAGUGAAGAAGGUCUUCGGAUUGUAAAGCUCUUUUGCCAGGAACGAUAAUGACGGUACCUGGAGAAUAAGCCCCGGCAAACUUCGUGCCAGCCGCCGCAGUAA